This 798-nucleotide ribosomal RNA is filed under the name Curtobacterium flaccumfaciens. Its description in RNAcentral is "bacterial SSU rRNA". It matches the Rfam family "Bacterial small subunit ribosomal RNA", at positions 77 to 886 of the family's 1533-position model. Lineage: Bacteria; Bacillati; Actinomycetota; Actinomycetes; Micrococcales; Microbacteriaceae. The record is from RNAcentral.
AGCUUGCUGGGGUGGAUUAGUGGCGAACGGGUGAGUAACACGUGAGUAACCUGCCCCUGACUCUGGGAUAAGCGUUGGAAACGACGUCUAAUACUGGAUAUGACUUCCGGCCGCAUGGUCUGGUGGUGGAAAGAUUUUUUGGUUGGGGAUGGACUCGCGGCCUAUCAGCUUGUUGGUGAGGUAAUGACUCACCAAGGCGACGACGGGUAGCCGGCCUGAGAGGGUGACCGGCCACACUGGGACUGAGACACGGCCCAGACUCCUACGGGAGGCAGCAGUGGGGAAUAUUGCACAAUGGGCGAAAGCCUGAUGCAGCAACGCCGCGUGAGGGAUGACGGCCUUCGGGUUGUAAACCUCUUUUAGUAGGGAAGAAGCGAAAGUGACGGUACCUGCAGAAAAAGCACCGGCUAACUACGUGCCAGCAGCCGCGGUAAUACGUAGGGUGCAAGCGUUGUCCGGAAUUAUUGGGCGUAAAGAGCUCGUAGGCGGUUUGUCGCGUCUGCUGUGAAAUCCCGAGGCUCAACCUCGGGCUUGCAGUGGGUACGGGCAGACUAGAGUGCGGUAGGGGAGAUUGGAAUUCCUGGUGUAGCGGUGGAAUGCGCAGAUAUCAGGAGGAACACCGAUGGCGAAGGCAGAUCUCUGGGCCGUAACUGACGCUGAGGAGCGAAAGCAUGGGGAGCGAACAGGAUUAGAUACCCUGGUAGUCCAUGCCGUAAACGUUGGGCAAUAGAUGUAGGGACCUUUCCACGGUUUCUGUGUCGUAGCUAACGCAUUAAGCGCCCCGCCCGGGAGAACCUC